GUCGGAAUUGCUAGUAAUCGCGGAUCAGCAUGCCGCGGUGAAUACGUUCCCGGGCCUUGUACACACCGCCCGUCACACCAUGGGAGCCGGUAACACCCGAAGUCAGUAGCCUAACAGCAAUGAGGGCGCUGCCGAAGGUGGGAUUGGUGACUGGGGUGAAGUCGUAACAAGGUAAC
Molecule: ribosomal RNA, 176 nt
Filed under: uncultured bacterium
Lineage: Bacteria
Description: partial 16S ribosomal RNA
Rfam family: Bacterial small subunit ribosomal RNA
Source: RNAcentral